GCGGAGCCACAAUGGGGGCAGUGGGGGCAUCUGCCCCCACUCCCCCAUCCCUUAGAUAUUGUAUAUAUAUAACAUAUACCAACAAUUAAUCAUUUGCUUAAUGAUAAG
This is a long non-coding RNA of Ipomoea nil (Japanese morning glory), 108 nucleotides long. RefSeq lists it as uncharacterized. NCBI's taxonomy places the organism in Eukaryota, Viridiplantae, Streptophyta, Magnoliopsida, Solanales, Convolvulaceae. The record is from RefSeq and is a predicted model, not a curated record. The transcript has 4 exons.